Molecule: long non-coding RNA, 217 nt
Filed under: Ricinus communis (castor bean)
Lineage: Eukaryota; Viridiplantae; Streptophyta; Magnoliopsida; Malpighiales; Euphorbiaceae
Description: long non-coding RNA (RCOM_LNC000429)
Source: RNAcentral
UGGUGGAAAUGCUACCCCCUCUUGAAUAACUCUGAAUCUAAUCUUUGCAGCUCAAGAUCUCCUUCUUCUUUCCUUUGAAUCUUCAAUCCAAUCCUCAAGAACAUCUAUAUGGAUAUGUUGAAGUGAAAUUCUUUUCCAUUUUCCUCUUUUUGAUUAUCGGGAAGGUUGCUCUCAAAGUCUGUCUUGAAUACCCCAAAUUUCUCCCUCUCUAGAAACC